Long non-coding RNA from Mus musculus (house mouse), 494 nucleotides. RefSeq annotates it as predicted gene, 52561. The transcript is spliced from 2 exons. NCBI's taxonomy places the organism in Eukaryota, Metazoa, Chordata, Mammalia, Rodentia, Muridae. The record is from RefSeq and is a predicted model, not a curated record.
GUCAUCCUGCUUAUGCAAGACGGGCUUGGAAAGAAGAAAGGAGAUGAAAGAAAGUCGAAUAGUUUGUUCUUACAAUUCCUUGUUUUAUUUACAAAGGAUUUAGGAUGCUGAAGAUUUCACAACACAGAAAGCACAGGCUCCGAGAAGUUGUUCAGCCCAGAUACAUCUUCAACACAAACCCCACACCUAAAGCUCAGGGAAUAUCAUACUGGACAGAAAGACUUGAACAACCAAGAGGACCUGGACAUACGACAGGAGAGCGGCACCCAUCAAAUAUGGCUGUCUAAACAAGACCUGAGCAACGACUCCAGUUGACAUAAUGGAGGAACUUUUAGGGGCCACCCUUAGAAGAACUAUAGGCAAGAUAUGACUGAUGAGAGGGAGAAUUAGUUUUCCCUAGGGAUGUGCCCCCUGAUUGAUUAACUAAUAUGGGAUAGCCAAACCUAAAUACGUGUGCAUACACACACACACACUGAAUAAAUAUAUAGGUUCAA